GGGGUCAUAGGGAACUUUUGAGAUAGCAUUUGAAAUGUAAAUAAAGAAAAUAGCUAAUAAAAAAAAGAAUGGAUAUUCAGUUCUAUUCUUCAUCUACCUGCCUGUCUGUACCAAUACCAUGCAGUUUUUUGUUGCUGUUUUGUUUUGGUUUUUUUUUUUUAAAUCAGGAAUGAUGAUUGCCCCAGAAGUUCUUUUAUUACUGAGAACAGUUUUCGCUAUCCUGGUUUUUUGCUAUUCCAAAUGAAUUUGAGAAUUGCUCUAUGAAGAAUUGAGUUGGAAUUUUGAUGGGGAUUGUAUAGAAUCUGUAGGUUGCUUUUGGCAAGAUGGCCAUUUUUUUCUAUAUUAGUCCUGCCAAUUCACAAGCAUGGGAGAACUUCCCAUCUUCUGAGGUCUUCGAUUUCUUUCUUCAGAGACUUUUGAAGUUCUUGUCAUACAGAUCUUUCACUUGCUUGGUUAGUCACACCAAGAUAUUUUAUGUUGUUUGUGACUAUUAUGAAGGGUGUCGUUUCUCUAAUUUCUAUCUUAGCCUGUGUAUUUUUGAGUAUAGGAAGGCUACUAAUUUGUUUGAGUCAAUUUAAUAUCCAGCCACUUUGCUGAAGUUGUUUAUCAGCUGUAGGAGUUCUUCGGUGGAAUUUUUAGGGUCACUUAAUUAUACUAUCAUAUCAUCUGCAAAUAGUGAUAUUUUGACUUCUUCCUUUCCAAUUAGUAUCCCUUUGACCUUUUGUUGUCUAAUUGCUCUGGCUAAGACUUCAAGUACUAUAUUGAAUAGAAUGGGAGAAAGGGCAGCCUUGUCUAGUCCCUGAUUCUAGUGGGACUGCUUCAAGUUUCUCUCCAUUUAAUUUGCUGUUGGCUACUGGUUUGCUGUAUAUUGCUCUUACUGUGUUUAAAUAUGGGCCUUGAAUUCCUCAUCUUUCCAAGACUUUUAACAUGAAGGAAUGUUACAUUUUGUCAAAUGCUUUCUCAGCAUCUAAUGAAAUGAUCAUGUGGUUUGGUUUUUUUUAUUAUUAUUAUUGUUGUUGUGGCAUUUGUUUAUGUAGUGGAUUACAUUGACGGAUUUCUGUAUAUUGACCAUGCCUGCAUCCCUGGGAUGAAGCCUACUUGAUCGUGGUGAAUGAUAGUUUUGAUGUGUUCUUGGACUCAGUUUGUGAGAAAUUUAUUAAAUGUUUUUGCAUCAAUAUUUAUAAGGGAAAUUGCUCUGAAGUUCUCUUUCUUUGUUGGGAUUGUGUAGAUUAGGUAUAAGCUGCAAUUGUGGCUUCAUAGAACAAAUUGGGUCGUCUUUCUUCUGUUUCUAUUUUGUGGGGUAGUUUGAAGAGUAUUGGUAUUAGGUCUUCUUUGAAGGUCUGAUAGAAUUCUGCACUAAACCCUUCUGGCCCUGCGCUUUGUUGUUGUUGUUGUUGUUGUUGGAAGGUAAUUUCUUUAAUUUCUUUUUCAAGUAAUGAUGUAAUAUUAACAUUCUCAGACACAGCACACCCCCUAAUGUUAUGAAGCACUUGGAUUUUUAAAGCAAUACUGAUAAUAGUUACCAAAUAUAUAAUCAAAUGGUACAUUAAAAGGAUAUGUGUCAUUUUAUUAUUUCAAACUUUUUGUUCUGAACAAUACAGUUUUACGUUUUAAGAAUACUAUGCUAAUUCACUUCUGGUAGUUGGAAAAUGCCUUCUGAUUCAAUUCGAUAGUUUUAGCACUAGAGGGCAGCCUUGCCUGCUUCUGGAUUGUGAAGAACUGAGUGAAUUUAAUUAAGCUAGCUUAAUCUUAAACAUUCAACCUCAGUAAAUGAAUGUCUUAGUCUCUUUAGAAUCAAGUUUUCCAUCCACUGUGGGUUUUUUCUUAUUAUUCUGAAAGUACAAAAUAAGACUGAUUUUGAGGGAGAGGGAGUUAGUUGUUGAUGUUAUUAUAUAUCUCCAUAUAAAAUCCAAGGAAAACACAAGUAUCAUUUACUGUAGUUAUGUUCAGAUAUGAUAAUGGAUUGAACAUAGAAACAUAUAAAUGGAACAGAAUAUGGAGCUAAUUAAAGAAAAUCUUGUACAUGAAAAUAUUUAUUCAGAAAACAGAUUUAGCUCCUAACUGUGCUGAUCUUGUAAUAGGAGUCAAGGCAAAACCAUAUCCAAGUGAGUACCUAUGUAAAUAAGCUGUUGUACAAGCAUUCCCAGCGCUCCAGAGUUUGCACCUGUGUACUAAAUAUCUGUUCUCUUCAGUUUUAGAGAUCCUGACCCGUUAGUCUUUGGUGCUGGCAAGUACCCAUCACAGUGCUUGGCAUUUAGGCUAAUCCACACUGUUUGAAUAUGUAGAUACAAAGCAUCACAGCUUAUACAAACCUGUUUUCACACGUCUAGGGAAGCUUUCCUAUCAUUGUGUCUGAAGAUAUGAAUAUAUACUUCUGUCUUUUCUUAUUUUCUCUAACAACCUUUACCUAUGGAUAAAGGUUAUUAGACAUUGACUAUUAGACUGUAAUGUUUAGUAGG
RNAcentral lists this long non-coding RNA (2459 nucleotides) under Mus musculus (house mouse). Its description in RNAcentral is "long non-coding RNA chr9:7214753-7217212". Lineage: Eukaryota; Metazoa; Chordata; Mammalia; Rodentia; Muridae. The record is from RNAcentral.